RNA transcript from Bombus terrestris (buff-tailed bumblebee), 1486 nucleotides. It is a transcript of the gene named luc7-like protein 3, with no coding region annotated. The record is from RefSeq and is a predicted model, not a curated record. Lineage: Eukaryota; Metazoa; Arthropoda; Insecta; Hymenoptera; Apidae. The transcript is spliced from 5 exons.
AAUUAUUAACACUGUAACUAUUGAUAGAAUUUUUAAUUCUUUUAUAAAAGAUUGAAUAAUUUAACUUAUUCAGAAAAUUAAUGUGUGAAUGAUAUUUAUUGAUUUGUUAUAUAUUCUAUACUAUAAAUUAUUUAUAAUUUAUUUCUUUAAAUUUAUACCUAUAGAUACCUAUUUAUACCUAUAGAUAGCGCUCUAGUAUUAUAUGUUACAUUCGUUGCAAUGCAGUGAUAUUUGACACAGUUUAAGGCUAAGUAAAGAACCAGCUGUCCGUUAUGACAAGAUAUUCGAGUGAAUCGGACUCAGAUCAUAAUAGCAGGUAUCGUCGAAGACGUAGUAGGAGAUCCAGAUCAUCUAGUUCAGAUUCUAGUGAUUCAUCUUCUCAUAGACGAAGGUCAUCCAAACACUCAAAAACAAAGCGUAGACAUCGCUCACAUUCCAGAAGCAGAGGGAGAGAUAGAGAUCAUAGCCAAAAAAGUUACAAAAGCUCUAGAAACAGUAAUUCAAAAGGAAGAGAAAGACAUAGGUAUCAUUCUAGAUCACGUUCUUCAGAUUGUUCUAAGAGAAAAGCUAGAUCAGCUUCAAGAGAAAAAUCUGGGAGUCGUUCAAGUAGUUCACAAUCUAAUGUAAAGACUAUUGUGUCUGAAAAAACUAAAAAUGUUGUAAUAAAAGGUGAUUUUCCAAUUGAACCACGUUUUAAAGAAGGUGUGUUAGAGGAAAUCAAUUCUGAAGGUUUUACACCCAAACAAUUUUCGUCUAAUACAAAGGAAAAGAAAUUUAAGAACAUUGUUAUAGAUAUUAAUGCAGAUACUAUACAAGUUCCAGCAGUGGCUGAAGUUCCUUGUGGAUCUGAUAGUAUCUUUCAUUCUUCGAUAAUGAUUGAUCAGGAAGCCAGAUUUGAUAAAUGGGUGAAAAAAUUGUACACUCUUAGACAGAAAGCUAUAGCUGAUUUGAUACAUUCAAAUGUUACUUGAUAGUUGAAUAAUUUAGUUUUACCAAAAUUUAUUAGUGUAAACAAAUGUUGAUCUCUGGAUGUUCAUACCUGUGUAAUAAAUGGCUAUAAUUGAAAAUUCAAAAUGUACAAAUAGGCGUAUUAUUUUAUUAGAAACGUAGGAUAUAGAAAUAAAAAUAAUAUAUUAUUAUAUAAUCAAGAAACAAUUCCCUUAAAAACAAAAUUGUGCGUCUUUGACCGAUUAGGUUGAAAAGUUAAAAUACGUUAUGGGAUUACAAAAUAUUUUGUAUAUAAAUGUAUAAAUUAAAUGUAAGAAAUGAGUAAAAUAUAAAUAUUUUAUAAUUCUUGUUAUCAGACAUGUUGCUAUUAAAACUUGUAUCAAGAACUGUAUUAAUAUCAUAGAACACAAAUUCCAAUAAUUACAGUUACAUUUUGUUUGUAGACUAACGAGAUAUGUUUGACGUAUUGCAUUUUAUGGUAUAAUAUUUCUUUUGUGUAAUGCAAAUAAAGUUUAUGUAAAAUUACUUUAUCUCUGAA